Molecule: long non-coding RNA, 378 nt
Organism: Carya illinoinensis
Lineage: Eukaryota; Viridiplantae; Streptophyta; Magnoliopsida; Fagales; Juglandaceae
Exons: 2
Source: RefSeq, a predicted model, not a curated record
AUGAGAAGGAGGGAAGAUUUAAAUUACACGCUUGGCUCGUGAACAACUAUAUCUGCUCGUCUUCACAUGAACUGGUAUAUCUCUCUGUUCAUCGGCUUCGUGUGGGUCUCUCUGGUUAAUUUCAGGUUUACUUUAUCUGCAAUUCCUGACAAAGCAUCACCAGCAAUUCCAAGAUUUAGUAGACCAAGAAGGGGAGAAGUCGUUAAAUCAGUCUUUAAAUCACUCCAAUUGGUGGAAGCCUUGUAUCUUCAACUUAGAAUUUUACAGUUGACUAUUAGCUCCAGUUGAAUGGUAGUUACUCUGUGUAUGUAGUGGCCGGAUUGUAUUUGAUUCAAAGAAACCAAAUUAAAGAAGUAUUGUAGUUGGGAUAUUCAUUCA